Molecule: long non-coding RNA, 9988 nt
Filed under: Equus asinus (donkey)
Lineage: Eukaryota; Metazoa; Chordata; Mammalia; Perissodactyla; Equidae
Description: lncRNA (ENSEASG00005029541.1)
Source: RNAcentral
UGAUUGGGUGGUUCUGGCCAGCUCGGGUGUCGCGUUCUCGUGGCGUGCGGAGGGCGGGGUCUGCGGGCCGUGCCGGGAGAGCAGGCCGGCGGCGUUCGUGGGUACCGAGCGGAGUGUAGGCGCUGAGGCCGGAAGCGGCCCUGCUCCGAGAGGCAUCGGUAGCCGCUCUGGCCCGGCUCGCGGGAAGCCCGGUCGACAGGAGGGACAGGCAAGGGCCCCGCUGCCUCCCUGCGUGUGUGAGGUAACGGACGCGUCGUGGGACGCGGAGGGACCCCGCACCGCGCGCGGUGGGGAAGCUCCCGGAGGAGGGGAGCUGUGAGCAGAGGCCGAAGACGGAGGGGUGUCCGGGGGUGGCGGGGGUGCGAUGCGGAGCAGCCUGCGGUGCGGAUGGGAGCUGCAGGUGAUCUGGUGUCGGUGGAGAUCUUAUUGGAAGUUCUGUAUGAAUGAGAUCGUGGAAGAUUUUGUUGGCCAUUUAGAGGGCUUGGACUUUGUCCUGAUGGCAGUGAAGAGCCACGGGAGGGUUUCUAAAGGGAAGGGGCCUGGCCCAGUUUGCUGCCAUCUGGGAGUGGAUUGAGGGGAGAGAGACUAGGUCGGGAGCCCGGGGUGGCGGCUGCGGCAGGCUCCUCGGCAAGAGGCCGAGCUGACAGGCUGUGUGGAAGGACGCGGCGGAGAGAGGCGGGAAAGGAAUAUUUCCGGCACCUAGAACAGUGCCUGGCAUACUGGAGAUACUUAGUAAAAAAAAUUUUUUUAAUGAACUUUCCUAGGAGGCAGGUACCAUUAUGAUCGCCCUUUUGCAGAUGAGGAUACUGAGAGCAGAGAAAGUUAAGUAACUUGCCCAAGAUCACAUAGCUAGGAAGUGGAGGGCUCAAGAUUUGUGUGUGUGUGUGUGUGUGUGUGUGUGUGUGUGUCUGUGUGAUCCACGGACUUAGCAGGGUGCAAGAUGAGCCUCAAGACAUCAGCAGGAGCCAAAUCGUGUAGGUCCUGUAAGAAAUGUGGGAUAAGCAUGGAAGUGUUUAUCGCCAGUUUCUGUUUCCAGACCUGCUCACUGACAGCCUACAUUGCAUCUCCGUUUGGAUGUCCAGAGAGAUCUUGAGAGUUAUUUUGGCCAAACUGAACUCCUGGUCUUUUCCCCAAAACCUGUUUCUCCCACGUUCUUCUCAGUAAAUGCCACUUCCAUCCUUGUCGUUGCUCAGACCAAAAGCUUUGGAGUUGUCCUUGACUCUCCUUUGUCUUAUGACUAUGUGUGGUCCAUCAGCAAUACCUUCAGAGUAUAUUCAGAACCUGCACAUUUCCUCCCAGCUCACUCUUGUCACCCUGGUCCUGUCCAUCCUCAUCUCCUGCCUAGACCAUCAUGGCAGCCUCCUCGGUGGUCCCCUUGUUCCUCACAGUCAGUUUGUCACAUGCAGUCAGAGGGAUGCUGUGAACACCUGCAUCAGGUCACAUCUCUGCCCUGUUCAGGACACUCAUGUGGCCCCAUGUCACAGAGAGAGAAUGCAAGAGUCUUCUCCAUGGCCUCAAGGCCCUGCGUGAUCUGUUCCCGUUACCUCUCUGACAUCAUCUACUCCUCUCUCCUUGUUCACUCUGAUCCAGCCACUCUGGCCUCAGGGCCUUUGCGCUUGCUGUUCUCUUUACCUGGAGCACUCUUCUCCCAAAUAGUCAAGGCUCCCCUUCACCUUCUCUAGAUCUUUUCUCAGAUGUCACCUUCUCCUUGAGAUUUUCCUUGACCACCUUCUGUAAUGGUACGACUAACAUUCAUCUGUUAACUUCCCAUUAACUUCUUUCUUAGCACUAAUCAUAUCAUUACUUAGCACACUAUAUAGUUGAUUUAUCUGUCUUACUUAUUGUCUGUCUCUCCUCUCCUCCAGCAGACCACAGGCUUCAUGAGGGCAGGGGCUGUUGACUACUUCAUGCUUUAUCUCCAACACCUAGGAGAGCUCUUGGCACACAGAGGCUCAGUAACUAUUUGUUGAAUGGAUGGAUGGAUGAUUUCAGAGCACAGCCCCUGACCUGGCAUCCUGGGGACUCUGUUGAUCUUCUUUCCACAGAACUUUAAGGGGCUGCCUUCCAGUUUUUUGAGGUCUCAGACCUUCAACAAGUAUUUCAUCUCGCCUCUGCUCUGUGCUCAGCGUUGGGAGCACAGCAGAGAACAAAACGGUUUCCCUGUCCCCAGAGAGCUCUCGGUCUCGGGCUGGGGUUCAGAUCACGCGCUCAUCACACACACAUGAAAUUACAAAGAAAGGGGGAGGGCGCUAGGAACACGCUGGACAGGAAGUCUGACGUGGCCCCCGGAAGUGAGGUUUGAGGCGAUGAAGGAAUAGGCCUUAGCUCCAUUAAGAGGUAACGGGGUGUUAGGGUCGGGGGGCACCUAGAGGCCGAGGGGGAGCCAAGGGCUGCACCACGCAGAUGCUGAAGGAGUUUGGGUCCUUACGCCUGGGGAGUGGAGGUUGUAGGGAAUUCUAGGCAGUGGAAGGAGGCGUUUUCAGUUACGUGUGCUGAAAGGUCCUCUGGCUGUUGCGUAUGGAGUUAACUUUAGGGGCUGAAGGACUGACGUAGAGACCCGUGACGAGGCUGUUAGCAUGAGACUGACACAGCUGGUACUAAAGAAGGCCGCACGCUCUUUGCUGUUUCUGCCGUCAGGAGGUGGAGUCCCCUCCCCUUUCGCCUGGGCUGCCCUGUCAUUUGUUUGGACCAGUAGAAGGUGGUCGAAGUGAUGCUGUGCAGGCUGGGGGCCCGGGCCACAAGAGGCCUGGCAGCUUCUGCUCUCACUCCGGGAGGCCUGGGCCGCUGUGUGAGGGCGUCCAGCUACCUGGCUUGAGAGAGACGUGGAAGGAGAGCCGCCCCGCCGGCCCCCAGCUGUCCCGCUGUUUCAGCUGAGCUGCCAGACGUGAGUGAUGCCGUCCUGGCUAUUCCAGCCUGGUUCCCAGCUGAAAACAUGUGGAGUAGAGACAAGCCAUCCCGAGUCACCUCGCCCUCUGCGCCUUGCCCAAGUUACAGAAUCGAGAGCAAAUAAACGGUUGCUAUUUUAAGCCACUCUGUUUUGGGAUAAUUUGUUAUCCAGCAAUAGCUGACUGAAACAAGCUAACGUUUUUUGAGAUCUUACCAUUUUAUGUGUUGGCUCAUUUAAUCCUCAUGGUCAGCCUGUGUGGUAAUGUUGUUACUGCCAUUAUUCUGAUGAGGAAACGAGGGCACAGAGAAGUUAAUGAAGUUAACUUCGUUAGCAAGAUAUCCUGGCACGUCAUCGGGCUGAGUACGUGGUAGCUGCUGUUAUCAGCAUCGUUUCCUCUGUAUUAAAAUUUCUGUGAUUGUUACAGAAGUGGUAGGAGGGCAAAUAAAAGCAUUAUUAACCCACUUGCGAGUGGUAUGAUUUUAGAUAUGUGACUUCACCUCUCUGAGGCUCAGUUUCUUCACUGUGAAAUGGAGAGUAUAGUGCUAUUCCUCUCACAGGGUUACUGUCAGGAGGCAGGGUCUGACAGAGAGCAAAUACCUAAUAUAUGGCAGGGAUGAUAAUUACUAUGAAGCAUGCAUCCAGGUUGUGUGGACAGCGAUCUUAGCACCACAAGGAUGAAGCCAUUUUCUUGGAAGCCCUACUGGAAAGACAGAAAUGUCCUUGGUGAUACUGGUGAAGUGCUGGAUCAGGCCUUACCUGAAGUGAGAUUACUUCUGGACUUUGUCAUUAGGGAAUACAAUAAAUCUUUUUGCAUCAUUUAAGCCAUUAAUUUGUAUCAUUAGUCUUUUUGUAUCAUUUAAGUUGAAUCAGGCUUUCUAUUACUUGGAACCAACAUCCUAACUGAUUCCACGGUUUUAUUCAUUUAUUUGUUGAUUCGUCAGAUAUUGAAUACUUACUCCAUGCCAAGCACUGUUUCAGGUGCUGCUGUUAUAACAGUAAACAAACCCCUCAAAAGCCCUGUCCUCAUGGAGCUUACGUUCUAGUGGGGAAGGUGGAUGAUAAGAAAAUAAAUAUUGAUGAUAAGCUUGAGGGGAGGAGGGCUGGAGAGGGACAGAGCUACCAUUUUAGGUGGAGGAGUCAAAUAAGACAUCUUUGAGAAAGUGUCAAUGGAAGAGGACCUGACACAAAGGGAGGAAGCCAGCUGUGUGUAUAUUUUGGGAAGAAGGACAUUCCAAGUAGAAAAAACAGCAAGUUCAAAGGCCCUGAGGUCAGCUUGGUGUGUUGGAGGAGUGAACUGGGCCAGAGUGAGCAGCUGGGAGGGGUGGAGCUGAGGGCCAGGCACGCAGGGCUGGCUGGGCCGCCAGAGGACUUGCAGUGGCUUCUCAGUGAAAGGACAGGCAGUCGGAGCCUUCUGAACUCCACAGUGCUGCGGUCUCGCGUCGCCGGCUGCCGUGUGGGCUCCAGGCUGGAGCGGGACUCCAGUGUGGAGGCUGCCACACUAGUGCAGCUGAGGGACGGUGGUGGCCUGGCCGCAGUGGCCGCGGUGGAGGUGGGGAGACACAGUCGGAGCCUGAAUGUAGUUUGAAGGAAGAGUGGGCAGGAUUGGGGGGGAUAGGCGUGGGGUGCGGAGGGGGAGUCAGCGACCCUUAGGCGUUUAGCCUGCGCCGGGAAGGAAGGAGGCCAGGAGCCGCGGAAGACUAGGGCUGUGGUGUGAGCCUCCCAGUGGCCUCGCUGGGCCCGCAGGGCGGCCUACGACGCUGGCAUUCAGGGCCCAGGUCUGGGCUGGAGAUGCAGAUUGGGAGUCACUUUCAUCUUCGUAGCGUUAAGGCCCAGGAUGAGGUUACUAAGGAGGGGAGUGUAGACGGAAACGAGGUCAGGGAGUGGGAGCAGGGGCCUGCGAGGCGGUGCUGGAGCGAUCCAGGAGAGAGAUGGGAGUGGCCUGGAGCAGGGCGGGGCAGGAGGGGCAGUCGUCGGGAGAUGCUGCGAGGGCAGGUCCCCAGCAGCCUGAUGGUGGGUGAGGAUGGUCGGCUGGAUGAGGGCCUCGUGAGAAUGGGACAGCGUUAGGACAUGGGGCAGGGGCUCUGCUUUCCUCCUUCCCUGGGCUCUGUGCUCUCCGCCUCUCGGGGCCUCUGCUGCUUCCUCUGUUUGCAGGCAACUGGCCUGGCCCCGGGUGGACUCCUGCCUCGACUCUGGGUGACCCUCCAGUGCUGUGCCCCACAGCCCCUCUGUCCCCAUUUGAAAUUCCUCAGACAGGAGUCGCAUAGCCGGGGUGCUGUGUCCAGUCCUGCUCAACCUGCUGUAGCUGGAGGAUUCCCGCAGUGACGUCUCAAAUAGUUGCAGUCACAAAGCGUUGCUGACAGGCGGAGUGGGGGCAGGCGUGGGGCGGGGGGGUGAUUUGACCCUGUUUUCAUGGCUAGGAGGGACAGGCCAUUUACGUAACCUCAGAUACGCCCUGUCUUGGGUGGCUGGGGGCGGGGAGCCCAGGAAGGUGGGCUCCAGCGGCACUGGGCUCAGAGGGGCAGCGUCGAGUCGGGGGAAGUGACGGGAGCCAGCACGGCCGCUGCCUGCCGCAGGUCCCCCCACAGCGGCCGGGGAGCCACUCAUUACUCGUCGCUCUCGAGGGACACAGCGAUGACUGAGACAGCCUCCACGCCGCCCUCAGAGCACAGCCCGGGCGGAGACCCUCGCCAGACAGGCUGUGGGGCCCAGAGGGAGCGCCUGACACGAUUCAAGGAUCCAAUCCAAGAUGCUACGCUGCGUUUAUUCAUCACGUCUCCUUGGUCUCCUCCAACCUGUGACAGUUCCCCGGUCUCUCCUUGUUUUUCAUGCCCGUGACAGUUUGAGGAGUACCGGUCAGGUGUUUUCUAGAAUGUCCCUCAGUCUGAUCUGUCUGACGUUUUCCUCGCGGUUAGAUCGGGAUCAUAGGUGUGAGGAGGAGGACCCCUCAGCUGGUGUUGACCUGGCUCCCUUCAUUCCGGUGGCGUCUUCUGGGUUCCUCGGCUGGAGCGUCACUGUUUUUCCCUCUCUUUACUCUGUCACGAAAUCCAGCCCACACUCGGAGGGAGGAGAAUUAAGCUCCAGCUCCUGGAGGGAAAAAUACCAAAGAAUUUGUCUGCAUGUGUUAAGACCACCACAGUAACUAAUAAACAUGGGAAGAUACGUGGCAGCCGUGCAAAGGCCGUGCUGUUCUCAGUUCCACAGCUCGUUUUAGCGUUCGUCCACGGCAGUUACUACUGUGGUGUUCCAGUGGCGAUUUCCUAUUUCCUUCACUUCUUCUGCAGUUGUUAUUUGGGAUUCUUCUGUAGGAAGAUUUGUCCCCACUACCUUGUUUAUUUUCUUUGUACAGUCGUUAAUUUAUAUCAGUCUGGACUCACGGAUGUUUGUUUUAUUCUUUGGGUGUAACCCAAGAAUAUCGCAAUUAAUUUUUUCAGUCAGAUUGUUCCAGUUUGGGCCAUGGGGCUCUUUCAGGUUUCCUCCUGUGUUUUGUUUUUUUUUUUUCUUCCUCCCUUGAGCACCUCCUUACCUCCUGGCGCUGUGAGAUGCUCCAGACUUGUCUUGUGUUUUCCCUGCUCCGGCCCUGGGAUCGCCAUUUCUCCAGGGGGCCCUGGUUCCUUCUGUUGGAGGUGGACUGAGACACCUAGGUCUGGGCACUGAGCGUGGUCAUUGCUGCUGGGCUGUCACUGUUUCUAGUCCCCGUCAGCUGACAGAGCUGGCAAAUACAUGUCUUUGUACAAACCCAGUAUACCCAUGUCUAUACUCUGUAUGUGGAUAGAUACAGACAUCUGUGCAUGAAGAGAAACGUGAGUCUGUACUGAUAGCUCUGACCAGCCCGAGGGUUGGUCCUCGCCUCUCCCUGGCUUACUUAGUGACUUCCUUCUCCGACCGUGAGAAGCCUGGCUCUGUGGUCACUAUUCGUGUCUGUCUUGUGGGCCCCCUUGGCAGACGCUAGCAGCGCUGGCCGUUCCCGCCUUCUAUAAGGACACUCUCCCCUCCGUUUCUGUGAUGAUGCUGGCCCCUGAGCUUUCUCCUCUGUCUUGCUUCUUUGCAGGAAGUUCCUGUUUUCACGGAUCCCUUAAAUGUGGGGGCUCUUCUGUCCUCCCCCCUGGGCCAUCUUACACUCUUUUAUGGUCUCUUUCCUGUCUCUGUGCUGAUGGCACCCACUCUCUGCCCUCAGUUCUGACCUGUUCCCUGAGCCCCAGACCUGGGGGUCCUGAGGCCUCACGAAGCCCCCUCCUGCCCUCAGCCCUGGAUGAUCCCUGCGCCCCGAACACUCACCUUGUCCCAAAUUGCAAACCUGCUCCUCCUCUCGGCCCCUGUCUCAGGAGUGGCCCCUCCGUACCCCAGGCUCACGAGAGAGCCCCGAGCCCGUCUUUGAUGCCUCGCUCCCCACCCCGGCCACCAGCUCCACCCGUCAGUCUCCCUAGCUUGUCCACCAGGACUCCUGGCUGUCUCCCCCAUCUGCCCCCUUCUCGCCUUUCAUGGCCCUGCCUUGGUCCACCCUGUCCUCUCCCACCUUGUCUCUGCCUGACCUCCUCCCGGGCCCUGGCCUCCCGUCUCUCUGUAACCCACCUCCACUUGGCCCUUAGAGGGACUUUUGUGGAACGCAGAUCUGAUCAAGUCCUCCUGCCUGGAGCUUUCCCGUGUUUCUCCAGUGUCCUCAGGACAAGGUCCUAACUCCUUAACCCAAGGCUUGGUGCCACUGGCCCCUGACCAUCACCUCGGCCUGUGUCCUGACUGCCUAAGCUUCAGACACUGAACUUCUUGUUUCCUUGAACGUGACCCGUGCACCACCCGGGCCUCCGCGUGGACCCUGCGCCAGCAACCCUCAGCCCUGCCGGCCCUGCCCGGUCCGCGCCCACCCACUUUCUCCCCGCUCACAUUGUUUUGAGACAGUCCCAGACAUCAUCCUCUGUAGGGAUGGCGAGUAAAUGUCAGCAGUGGGCAUUUCUGAGUGUAGGAAGCAGGAGGGGAGCUUUACUGUUAAAAAAUGUUUGCAGGGAACAUGUUUUCAUCGCACAGUAAUGUGACACCAGUAGCUGUUGUGGGGGAAGAAGUUAACUAAACAAGAAACAGUCACAUCAUCUUUGAGUUUAAGAGGAAAAGACUUUCAGGAAUCAUCUUAUCUCUUUCAAGAUUCCAGAGCAGCAAGCAGAGAGUAGAGAUGUGUUUCUCUGGGCGUGGUGACCGCGACGCCACAGUGACCUUUAAGGGGUGCCUGUAAGCUUCCUUUUAAAUCACGCCAACUGAGGGAAUUUUCUACCGUUAAUUUUCACAGUUUUUGUAAACAUGACUCGUGAUUUAUCUAAAUGGUAUCUUACAAGCGUUAGGAACAACUAAAUUACAUAGAAGGACUUCAUCCGUGUGAAGGAAGGUUCCUCCGGUACAUUGGUGUUGGGAGAAUUCUUGGCUUCUACUCUGAUACGAGUGGCUACCGGGACGGUGAAUUCCGUGGAAAGGAGCCGUGAAUGCAUCCGUUUCGAGACCUUUUGCAGUUUUAAAUCUGACCAGCACGUGCUUUAAUAAUAAAUGGCAACAUUUACACGGCGCCACCUUCGCGCCAGGCACCUCGUCAGCUCUUGAUGUGCAUUGAUUCCGUGGUCCCCACCCAGCCCUCAGGACGGAGCUGCUGUCGUCGUGCCAGGUGGUCUGUGCGGCAUUCAGAACUGAAGGCCCUUCCCCCAGGUUCCAUCGCUAGACAGUGGCAGCACUGAGGCUUGAACCCGGGUCCUGGUUGCUUCUACUGUCUGUGCCUUCAAGCACCUUUCUCCUGGAUUCCAUUCUCAAAGGAGAUGCUCACGUUGCUGCUGGUGCAGUCGCUUCUUUUUGGAAGAAGGGCUUCAAUUACUUUUCUCUCCAGCUGCUAAAAAUCUUUUUUGACAUCCCCAAUUAUUUGUAAAGAAAAAGACUUUUAACUGCUUUUUUAGGGACAAUUUCCAACGUACACAAAAGCAGAGAGAAAAGUGUAAUGAACGCCCACGUCCCCAUCAUCCAGCUGCUACAGUCACUGUGAGGGGGCCAUUUCUGUGCCGUCCAUGUCCUGCACAUUUUUCUUCCCUGCUCAGUUAUUUUGAAGCGAAUCUAGAUACAUCUUUUUAAGACAUUUUCUUUUAAAGGAAAGGUAACCCACAAUUCCUUGCUCCGAGUCCUCCCUGAGCCUCUGUUCCCACUCCCCCAGUUUCCAGAAGCAGAGGGAUCUGUGCGUGUGGGACACCAUCCCCUGGCUCUCCCUGGCCCCUUUCCUGUAACCCCAUCCUCCAGGCCUUUCUCCCCGGCGCUCUGAAGCCUGAAAACGAUCCCUCUUCGUGACUGUGGCCAGCCUGGUGCCGCUUGGCAGCCCCGUCACCCGCAGCGGGACAUUUAAUCUGCAGUGGCUUCUUGCCAUGGUUGUAGCCUCUUCCCUUAUUUGGGUUCUUUUCUGGAUGCCCCCGCCACCCAAACCAGGUCAGGCCUCCUGUCCCACCAACUGCGCGCUGUAGCUUCCCCUCAGGCACGUUACGUGUAAGAGUCAAAACGAAACAGAGAUUUGUGUACUUAUCUAUCAGUUGCCCGGGAGCUCCAUGGGGCAGGAAUCAGGUCUGUCUUCAUCCCCGCCGUGUCCCCUGCGUCACCCAGCACAGGGCCCCACAUCAGCAGGUGCUCAGUCCCAGUGAGGCAUGAAUGAAUGAGUGUUUGCCAGAGUCAAUAGCUGGGCAUUUAUCAUGAAGGCAAUAGGAAGCGACAGAGGUGUUUUGGGCAGGACUGGACCCGUUGUUUUCAAACUGCCGUGUGUAUAGAUCCCCUGAGGGCUUGUUAAAAUGCAGAUUCUUGAGUCACUGGGUCUCGGGAGGGGUCGGAGGGGCCUGAAGUUCCACGUCUCUGACAAGCGCCCCAGUGAUGCCAAUGUUUUGAGUAGCCAGGGUCUUGCUGUGUUCAGGACAGCAGCUACCUACCUCCCGUGGCUGCUGGGCACCUGCAGUGCGGCUAAUGUGAGCCGAGAUGACUUUAAGUGUAAAAUACCCACCAGGUUUCAAAGACUCAGUCCAAAAAACAGAAUGUAAAAUAUCUCAAUAAUUUUUGUAUUGAUCACAUGUUAAUCUGAUCACAUGUAAUAUUUUGGAUAUA